GAUCAUGGCUCAGAUUGAACGCUGGCGGCAGGCCUAACACAUGCAAGUCGAACGGUAACAGGGAUCAGCUUGCUGAUUCGCUGACGAGUGGCGGACGGGUGAGUAAUGUCUGGGAAACUGCCUGAUGGAGGGGGAUAACUACUGGAAACGGUAGCUAAUACCGCAUAACGUCGCAAGACCAAAGAGGGGGGACCUUCGGGCCUCUUGCCAUCGGAUGUGCCCAGAUGGGAUUAG
Molecule: ribosomal RNA, 234 nt
Filed under: uncultured bacterium
Lineage: Bacteria
Description: partial 16S ribosomal RNA
Rfam family: Bacterial small subunit ribosomal RNA
Source: RNAcentral